Molecule: long non-coding RNA, 1874 nt
Filed under: Ananas comosus (pineapple)
Lineage: Eukaryota; Viridiplantae; Streptophyta; Magnoliopsida; Poales; Bromeliaceae
Description: long non-coding RNA (ACOM_LNC042275)
Source: RNAcentral
GGUUUCAUAUUGUAUGCAUCCAACAUGAACAUCCUCGGCUGAGAAUAAACUGAACCUUGAAUCCACCUCUAACAUCCGUCUUAGAGGUUUACUAACUUGACCCAAUCGAUUCAACUUCCGCCACCGUUAUAGGUUCACGUUCCACUCACGCACCUAUAACCUUACGGUUUACCGUCCUAGGGUCUCAUAAGUCAUCCUAGACUCUCUCUUUACUUGCUCUUAGCUUGCUCUGAUACCACUUUAUCUGUCACGCCCCGUGACCGCUACCAAUUUGGCUCGGCCCGGGCGCGUCGAACAGACGCCAGACGGACAGCACCUCCUCUGUCCGCCCAAGGCUAACAACGAGAUUGUGUACAACAAGUUUCCAGGAAAAUAACUUGAAUACAUACACAAUCGAUAACGAAGCACACAAGUGCACUACAUCUAAGAGCAAGAAUCACAAGUAACAUACAAGUGAAAUAAAGAGAGAUACAUCUAGCUAUUACAUCUCAUUUAACCUUUACAUAUUGGUUUACAUUUUCAUCUUCCCAAAUAAAUAUAUAUUCUUCUCAUAAUACAAAAUGGCUCUCCAAAUACAUAAGUAACUUCCAAAUACAUCUACAUCUCUAUGUACACGAGGGUACUCUAAUGCAUAAGGAAAGCUACUAGCUACUAGGACGCUGUGCCCUUACCACGGUCCUCUGCCGGUACGCUCUCGUGUGUACCUGUACCCCAAAACCACACGGGGUGAGAACUAUAUAAAUAUAGUUCCCAGUGGGUUCGGCCGCCGACGCCGCCGGUUUUCCCACUAGGUCUAAGCUGGCACAGAUAGAUAGAUAGAAAGGUAGAUAGAAAUACAUUGCUACUAUAUCUACCAUGCCAUCAAAUGCAAAGAAUGCAUGGAACAUCAUCUAGCAAUAACCUACUAUCAUGCUAGUAUGCUUCAACAGUGUAAUAAAUACAACUACAACAUAGUUAUGCAGUCUACUAUGUCUAAUCAUGGCAUGAAUGCAAUCCACUUAUGCUAUUCAUGUUACAACCCAAUCGAUUAGGCCAACUUGCCUAAGAUCUCAAAUCUCAAAGGUCCUAAACAAAGAGCUACCCCGCUCCUUGCCCGACUCAAUCUCGCUCUACUAAGUACGAGCUGCUACAUAGUAAUGGAAUAUACACAUGCUACUAUGCCUCUGUAAUCAUGGAAUGCAUGAACAUAGCAAUGAUAUUCUACUAAUCAUGAUACUAUGCUUCAACAACAAUAGAAAUGAGCUACUACAUAGUGAUGUAUCUACAACAUGCUACUAUGUCUCAAUGUCAACUCAAGGUAUGAAUGCAAAUCUGCUAUGCCAUUCAUAUUCUUUACCCAAUCUGCUUGGAAAUGAGCUACUACAUAGUGAUGUAUCUGCACAUGCUACUAUGCCUCAAUAAUCCGAAUGAACGAGCUACUACAUAGUGCGUCGUGCAACUAUGCCUCGAUAGUAUCCAAUCUCAUGGCUAACCUGAAGGUUGCCACCCCGGGGUCAACCCCGACUCACUCUCAAUCUCAUAGGUGAGGAGAAUCUGCGCUCGCACACCGAGACCGUCUGCGGGACAACUACGUCUGCCCCUAGUGAAGUACUCCGGAGACUCGUGCUUCGGUGGAGCGACCACCGACAAGCAAAAACAGACUAGUGAGUAUGAUCCAAUCCUCACAAGAGGAUACCCUAUCUACCAGGGUCAAUGUGCCUCUGCUGCACAAUACCAAAUGCAUAAUCAAUGCCUCAAAUGCACUAAUGCCAAAUGCAUAAUGUCUACAACAUGACAAUCGGGAAAAUCUACUAUCCCUAGGUUCAAAUGCCAUAGUGUUCCACUACACUAGAUUUGAUACCACUUGUUUAUGUCAUGAUGUUAUAUGUGUCUUA